UCCGUCGUAACAACAUCGCUA
Molecule: unclassified non-coding RNA, 21 nt
Filed under: Dictyostelium discoideum
Lineage: Eukaryota; Evosea; Eumycetozoa; Dictyosteliales; Dictyosteliaceae
Source: RNAcentral